CACACUACUGCGUUACGCAUGCGCGCACAACCUACCCUCGCAUACCGUCUCCACACCAUUCUCUCUCCACUGCAGUCUCUACUUUACCAGAGGCAAAUGGAUGAUUGGCAACACGACCUUUAACGGUUCCAAUAUUUAUGACAUUAUGGUGGAAAAUUCGGAAUUAUUUAUUCUUUUCAUUUAGCUUGUACGGAAUAAUCGUUGUACGUUCUUAGUGGUAAACCGAAAUAUUAUAAUGUUAUUUAUUAAGCAGGUGACAGUUUUAAUAAAAUCAUUCCAGGAAAUAUCAUCAAGUGUCAAUUAAAUUAUUUAUUUUCAGAAGUUUCCACUAUACAUUUUUGUAUUAUAGCCGUAAUUGUAGGUAGAGGAGACGGUAUCUGAGAGGAAGCAAUAACAUAAAAUCUACAAGGGACAUGGCGUGUUUACACUAGAGUCAUAACAUUGAAUUAACGAAUGUUUUCUGGCCAGUGUAAACACAAAGAAACAAUCAUGGAGACAACAAAUUGACAAAGCUAAGGAAGAAUAAACAUGUAAUUAAAAUAUUCAAUGAUUUAUCAAUGCUGAGAGAAUUCAUUGUUUGUUUGUCUCAACAUUGACUUCACAUUUUGUCUACAAAAAAUCCGACGUCAAAGUUUUCUUUGGAUUAAAUGCAGACAAAUGAAACAACUAAAGGACAACAAAGCUAAUAAUUAUGAUGUAAGCUUUCACCUCUACAAGUAAAUCCUGUAAAAUGUUGAUUAUUAUAAGUAAUAAAAUGUGCAAAAGAAUGAACGCCGUGCAUAUAGGGGUAAGCGUUUCAAGAGAAAGAU
Long non-coding RNA from Ostrinia furnacalis (Asian corn borer), 809 nucleotides. RefSeq lists it as uncharacterized. The transcript is spliced from 2 exons. NCBI's taxonomy places the organism in Eukaryota, Metazoa, Arthropoda, Insecta, Lepidoptera, Crambidae. The record is from RefSeq and is a predicted model, not a curated record.